This 460-nucleotide ribosomal RNA is filed under the name uncultured bacterium. RNAcentral's name for it is "partial 16S ribosomal RNA". It matches the Rfam family "Bacterial small subunit ribosomal RNA", at positions 338 to 795 of the family's 1533-position model. The record is from RNAcentral.
CCUACGGGAGGCAGCAGUGAGGAAUAUUGGUCAAUGGACGAGAGUCUGAACCAGCCAAAUAGCGUGAAGGAUGACUGCCCUAUGGGUUGUAAACUUCUUUUAUAUGGGAAUAAAACGUUCCACGUGUGGGAUUUUGUAUGUACUAUAUGAAUAAGGAUCGGCUAACUCCGUGCCAGCAGCCGCGGUAAUACGGAGGAUCCGAGCGUUAUCCGGAUUUAUUGGGUUUAAAGGGAGCGUAGGUGGAUUGUUAAGUCAGUUGUGAAAGUUUGCGGCUCAACCGUAAAAUUGCAGUUGAAACUGGCAGUCUUGAGUACAGUAGAGGUGGGCGGAAUUCGUGGUGUAGCGGUGAAAUGCUUAGAUAUCACGAAGAACUCCGAUUGCGAAGGCAGUUCACUGGACUGCAACUGACACUGAGGCUCGAAAGUGUGGGUAUCAAACAGGAUUAGAUACCCCGGUAGUC